RNAcentral lists this ribosomal RNA (484 nucleotides) under uncultured bacterium. Its description in RNAcentral is "partial 16S ribosomal RNA". It matches the Rfam family "Bacterial small subunit ribosomal RNA", at positions 30 to 507 of the family's 1533-position model. The record is from RNAcentral.
AUUGAACGCUGGCGGCAGGCCUAACACAUGCAAGUCGAGCGGAUGAAGGGAGCUUGCUCCUGGAUUCAGCGGCGGACGGGUGAGUAAUGCCUAGGAAUCUGCCUGGUAGUGGGGGAUAACGUCCGGAAACGGGCGAUAAUACCGCAUACGUCCUGAGGGAGAAAGUGGGGGAUCUUCGGACCUUACGCUAUCAGAUGAGCCUAGGUCGGAUUAGCUAGUUGGUGGGGUAAAGGCCUACCAAGGCGACGAGCCGUAACUGGUCUGAGAGGAUGAUCAGUCACACUGGAACUGAGACACGGUCCAGACUCCUACGGGAGGCAGCAGUGGGGAAUAUUGGACAAUGGGCGAAAGCCUGAUCCAGCCAUGCCGCGUGUGUGAAGAAGGUCUUCGGAUUGUAAAGCACUUUAAGUUGGGAGGAAGGGCAGUAAGUUAAUACCUUGCUGUUUUGACGUUACCAACAGAAUAAGCACCGGCUAACUUCGUG